Molecule: ribosomal RNA, 270 nt
Filed under: uncultured prokaryote
Description: partial 16S ribosomal RNA
Rfam family: Bacterial small subunit ribosomal RNA
Source: RNAcentral
UGCCAGCAGCGCGGUAACACGUAGGGGGCGAGCGUUGUCCGGAAUUAUUGGGCGUAAAGGGCACGCAGGCGGCUUCUUAAGUCCGAUGUGAAAGCCCGUGGCUCAACCACGGGAUGGCAUUGGAAACUGAGAAGCUUGAGUGCAGGAGAGGAGAGCGGAAUUCCACGUGUAGCGGUGAAAUGCGUAGAUAUGUGGAGGAACACCAGUGGCGAAGGCGGCUCUCUGGCCUGUAACUGACGCUGAGGUGCGAAAGCGUGGGGAGCGAACAGG